RNAcentral lists this ribosomal RNA (324 nucleotides) under uncultured eukaryote. RNAcentral describes it as "partial 18S ribosomal RNA". It matches the Rfam family "Eukaryotic small subunit ribosomal RNA", at positions 1470 to 1796 of the family's 1831-position model. The record is from RNAcentral.
CCCUUAGAUGUCCUGGGCUGCACGCGCGCUACACUGAUGUGUCCAGUAAGCACCUAACCUAUUCCGAGAGGAGCGGGUAACCUUAGCAAAGCACAUCGUGAUGGGGAUAGAUUAUUGCAAUUAUUAGUCUUGAACGAGGAAUUCCUAGUAAGCACAAGUCAUCAGCUUGUGUUGAUUACGUCCCUGCCCUUUGUACACACCGCCCGUCGCUCCUACCGAUUGAAUGUUCCGGUGAGCUCUUCGGACUGCGCGGUCUGCAGUUUCUGCGUUCCGUGCGGAAAGUUGUGCAAACCUUAACAUUUAGAGUAAGGAGAAGUCGUAACA